Molecule: transfer RNA, 72 nt
Filed under: Ictidomys tridecemlineatus (thirteen-lined ground squirrel)
Lineage: Eukaryota; Metazoa; Chordata; Mammalia; Rodentia; Sciuridae
Description: Spermophilus tridecemlineatus (thirteen-lined ground squirrel) tRNA
Rfam family: tRNA
About the family: Transfer RNA (tRNA) molecules are approximately 80 nucleotides in length.
Source: Rfam by way of RNAcentral
AGGGGUGUGGCUCAAUGGUAGAGCAUCUGCAUAACAUGUAUGAGGCACUGGGUUCAAUUCUCAGCACCACAU